AUUAGGUUUUGUCAUCAUUUGACAAAAGUAGGUAUUUAUAUAAAUUAACAGCGAGCAUCAUACCCAUAUGUAAAUCAGAGGCUUGGUUUCCUUCGGUUGCAGACAUAUGCAUGGAAUUUUGGGUCGCGUCAUCCUGUUGCGGAAUAUAUGGAAUGCAACGAUUCCAACCAGUCUCUCCACGUGGGAAGAAUAGUGGAUAUGACAAUGGGUCGUAGCACCCAUAGUAUGCUCUAAUAUAUAG
RNAcentral lists this long non-coding RNA (241 nucleotides) under Hordeum vulgare. RNAcentral's name for it is "long non-coding RNA (HVUL_LNC003231)". Lineage: Eukaryota; Viridiplantae; Streptophyta; Magnoliopsida; Poales; Poaceae. The record is from RNAcentral.